AUUGAACGCUGGCGGCAGGCCUAACACAUGCAAGUCGAGCGGAUGAAGGGAGCUUGCUCCUGGAUUCAGCGGCGGACGGGUGAGUAAUGCCUAGGAAUCUGCCUGGUAGUGGGGGAUAACGUCCGGAAACGGGCGCUAAUACCGCAUACGUCCUGAGGGAGAAAGUGGGGGAUCUUCGGACCUCACGCUAUCAGAUGAGCCUAGGUCGGAUUAGCUAGUUGGUGGGGUAAAGGCCUACCAAGGCGACGAUCCGUAACUGGUCUGAGAGGAUGAUCAGUCACACUGGAACUGGAACACGGUCCAGCCUCCUACGGGAGGCAGCAGUGGGGAAUAUUCGACAAUGGGCGAAAGCCUGAUCCAGCCAUGCCGCGUGUGUGAAGAAGGUCUUCGGAUUGUAAAGCACUUUAAGUUGGGAGGAAGGUCAGUAAGUUAAUACCUUGCUGUUUUGACGUUACCAACAGAAUAAGCACCGGCUAACUUCGUG
RNAcentral lists this ribosomal RNA (484 nucleotides) under uncultured bacterium. Its description in RNAcentral is "partial 16S ribosomal RNA". It matches the Rfam family "Bacterial small subunit ribosomal RNA", at positions 30 to 507 of the family's 1533-position model. The record is from RNAcentral.